RNAcentral lists this transfer RNA (82 nucleotides) under Ixodes scapularis (black-legged tick). It matches the Rfam family "tRNA". From Rfam's summary of the family: Transfer RNA (tRNA) molecules are approximately 80 nucleotides in length. Their secondary structure includes four short double-helical elements and three loops (D, anti-codon, and T loops). Lineage: Eukaryota; Metazoa; Arthropoda; Arachnida; Ixodida; Ixodidae. The record is from Rfam by way of RNAcentral.
GCUGUCGUGGCCGAGUGGUGAAGGCGUUGGACUAGAGAUCCAUUAAGGUCUCCCCGCGCAGGUUCGAAUCCUGUCGACUGUG